Molecule: long non-coding RNA, 1804 nt
Organism: Gossypium raimondii (Peruvian cotton)
Lineage: Eukaryota; Viridiplantae; Streptophyta; Magnoliopsida; Malvales; Malvaceae
Exons: 2
Source: RefSeq, a predicted model, not a curated record
UUUAACCUUUUUUUCAAAUUAAUAGAAGUUGUUCUCAGAUUACUUUUCCCCUUUUCUGUUUCACGCCCUAAUUGUUUUUGGGUCUCAAACUAAAUCACGCAGAGCUCACCACCAGUCUGUCACAACUCAACGGCAGCCAUCGGCGGUCUCAACAUGGUAUCAAAGCCACUGGCGAUUGGUUUUCUCCGACAGCUGUGUCUCUCUUCUUCAAUCUUUGUUCGAUAGUUUCUUUCGCGAGAACAUUUCUCUUCGUUUGUCAGCUUUUUCGCUUAUCUGUGGUUAGUCUUCUUUGUUUGAGAGAGAAUGAUGACUCCAUUAGAUUUCAAUGUUGAUUUAACCAUCCAUUGUACUUGCAUCCAUCCAAUACUCCAGGUACACAGUUAGUCUCUUAUCAGCUUCUUGGGUCUGAAAAUUACACUGUUUGGAGUUGAGCUAUGCGAAUUGCGUUGUUGGCAAAUAAUAAGCUAGGUCUUGUCGAUAGUACCUGUUAUAGAGACUUAGUGCCAAUUGAAUUGCAUCCAUAAUCGGAUCGAUGCAAUGCUAUUGUGUUGUCUUGGAUUUUAAGCACUGUUAGAAAAGAUCUUUCAGUAAGGGUUGUUUUUGCUUCAAGUGCUGAGGUAGUUUGGACAGACCUUGGUGAACGGUUCAACAAGGUCGAUGGCUCUCGAGUUUUCUUCUUGCAUCGUGAGAUUGCCUCUUAUUGUCAAGGGACUAUGUUUAUAUCUGUGUAUUUCACUAAAUUGAGAUUGUUAUGGGACGAGUACGAUGUGUUGGUUCCUUUUUCCUUUUGUGGUUGUUGUGGACACUCAAAGCAGAAUGCCGAUCAUAUUAUGCAACAUCGAUCGUUCCAAUUUUUGAUGGGUCUAAAUGAUACCUAUUACUUUGUUAGGAGUCAAAUUUUUUUUAUGACCCCAUUGCCUACAGUCAAUCAGGCAUAUCUAUGUUGGUACUGGAGUCUCAAAGACUUAAUGCUUCAGGACCAGCAGCCUCGGAUCCAACGUCGGUAUAUUCAACUCUUAUGACUUACAAGAAGAAAUUUAAUGGUGUUUGUGACCAUUGCAAAAUCAAGGGACACAAAAGGGAGAGUUGUUACAGACUAAUUGGGUAUCCUUCUGAUUUUAAGUUCACUAGGAAGAAGGUAAAUGAUUCAGCUGGCUCUGUGAAUAGUGUGGUUGCAGUUGAAUCUGUAGGUGAGGUUGUUGAAGCUGGUUCAUCUAGUGCUCCUCAAGGUGUAAGCACCGGUAUUUACAUCAGCUCAAUAUCAACAACUAUUGAAUUUGUUGAGCAAAGACUCUUCGACGGUACCUACUGCGAGUUUGGCAGAAACUAGCUUGGCAGGACCUCUCAAGUGGCAAGAUGCUGGGGAUUGGUAAAGAACAAGGUGGUCUGUACGUCCUUCAGCCUUCUCAACCUACUUCUUUGUCAAGUUCAGUAGUAACCAAGGGUAACAUUUCAUCUGACACAACUGCUACUACUAAUUUCCAGGCUAAGUAGAACGCCUUUACAACCAUGUAAUUUUUUGGAUAGUACUCCUAUACUUUAGUGUUCUGUUUGUCCUUUAGCUAAGAAAACUAGAUUGCCCUUUCCAAUAAGAAAAACUUGGGUUGAGGCAGUGUUUUCUCUUCUUCAUUUAGACUUGUGGGGUCCAUAUAGGGUUUCAACCCACAGUGGGCAUAGGUAUUUCUUGACCAUUGUGGAUGAUUUCUCCCGUAUGACUUAGGUUUAUCUUUUACGUUUGAAAAGUGAUGUUCUUAUACAAAUCAAGCAAUUUUUUUUGUCAUGAUUAAAAAUCAAUUUUUAGCAA